Molecule: long non-coding RNA, 3640 nt
Filed under: Populus trichocarpa (black cottonwood)
Lineage: Eukaryota; Viridiplantae; Streptophyta; Magnoliopsida; Malpighiales; Salicaceae
Description: long non-coding RNA (PTRI_LNC002782)
Source: RNAcentral
UUCAAUCUUUUCUAUUAAGUUUCGAGGACGAAACUUUUAUAAGGUGGGGAGAUUGUAAUGUUUUGUAUUAAAAGAUAGGAAAUGGCAACAAGGCCCUUGAAUGCUUAGAUGUAGGAAUAAAUUAAAUGAGGGGUAGUGUGGUAAUUGAACAAUAGUUGAUAUAUAUAAAUAGAGAGAAGGAAAAAAAAAACAAAAGAGAGAUCUGAAAAAUUUGAGAGAGAAUCGGCAGGAGAGAAGGGAGAAAGAAGAAGAAGAGAAAAGAGGGGGAAAUAAGGGAAAAAGGAAAGGAGUUGAAGAGAAUAAGUUUAAAGGUAAGAUUUAGGUUGUUAAAUGUAUAAAUGUAUGUUAAUUGAGCUUAAUUUCAGUUUUGAUGAAUGUUAGGGUUUUGAAAAUUUGUGUUUUGGGUUUAAUUGAUGAAUUAAAUUGAAUGUUAUAAGGUUGAUUGUUAUGGGUAAUUGAUUAAUGAGUUGAUUAUGGAAGAUUGUGAUGAUUUUGAGUUAUGAAUUGUGUAAAUGGUGAAUGUUGAGUUAUAAAUUUGGCAAGAACAAUAGGUAAUCUGUUAAAAUUCUGGAUUGGAGGUUGAAGAUGACGAAAAUUCAAUUUGGUCCCUCAAUUUUGGAAAAUUACAGUUUAGUCCCCGAACUUUGGAAAAUUUGCAGAUUGGUCCCUGGGGCAUAUUCCGAGAUUCUGAACAGAAUAACAUAUGAAUUAUGGACAGAAUUACUGUAUAGAUAAGAGAAUUUAACACUUUCAAUUUAGUCCUCCAAUUUGACAAAAUUACAAUUUGACCCUAAAAAUUUGGUAAAAUUCCAGAAUGGUCCUUGGAGUAUAAUGAGAUGAUCUGGACAGAAAUGAGGACUAAUUAUGGUCAGAAUUUCAGUAUAUUCAUGGAUUUAUGAUAAAUUUCAGUUUGGUCCUUCAAUUAGACAAAAAUUGCAAUUUGACCCUUAAAAAUAGGAUAAAUUACAGAUUAGUCCCUAGCUGUAAUACUAGCUUUUGCAGAUUGGUUUGAUGAAUAAUUAAGGGUUAUUUAGUGAACUAUUUCCAAUUUUAUUAGUUGUUUUAUUAUGGAUUAGAUUUCGGGAAAACCGUUAAAUUUUGGGUUUUUGAGAAAAUUGAUUAGUGAGUUCAAAAACAUAUAUGAUUACGGAAUACACCCUUAGUUAAGUGUAUUAAAUAAGUUAAAUGUUCUUUUGAGUCGUUCUUGAAUAUGUCUCCUUUGUAUUCAGAUAAUCCUGAUAUUCUACCGAUAGGACGUCAGUAGGAUUUUCUUCGGUGUCUGCUUUUGGCUUCUGUUUGCUUUUGAGUCAGGUGAGUGGAUAAUUUUCCAUAUGCAUGAGAAAUAGUAUAAAUAUUUGAUUUGUUAAUAUGAAUUGAAUCAUGCUUCUUGAUAAUAUAUAUGUUGAUUAUUAUCCUUGUUUUGAUAAAGCAUGAUCAAUUGUUGAAUCCGAAUUCUUGAUAUGAACCAGUAUAUAUUUUGAAUUGAAUUCUGAAUUGAUAGCUCCUCAUUUGAUUGAUGUCAUGAGUUGAGCCUUGAGAUAUGAAUAUGUCUGUUUGCUUAUGAUUAUGAUUAUGAACCUAUGGUAUGUUAGUCAGAAUACCCAUGCUAACAGGGUAGUGUUAGUCUUUGUGCACAUCGUAUCCGAACCCUAGUUGGUCGGGGGAGUCACCAACCUGUGUGGACUGAUCAUCCCACAGUACGGAGCCUCAUGCUCAUUGCAUUUUGAUUUUCUGACGAGCUUUACCAUAUGAUAUUCUUGUUAUGGCCUAUUUGAGAAACCUUUCUAUACGAACCUAGAGCCAUACUUGUAUAUAUAUUUCUCAUUGCUGUAUUACCUCGUGUGUGUAUAUUGAACGUUAUCUACUCACUGAGUUGUUGAACUCACCCUCUCAUUAUUUAUCCUUUUCAGGCUUAUAGCUUGAUAGCAGGUCACUUUUGUUGGACUUUCCGAACCUGCUCUUUUGGUUGUAAUUUGUACCUUUUCCUUUAUGUCUAGUUAGUGCUCCAAAACUCUGAAUUUAUAUUAGCUCUUGUAUUAAGACAACUAAAUUAUAUUAUGAAGUUGAUUUUGUUGUUAAUGCUGCGUUGAACUCUGAUUGAGUUAGGAUAAGUUUGUGUGUAAGUUUGGGUUCGCAUAGGUAUGGAACCUUGGAGGGGAACCUUGCCUAUGUGCCGGUCAUGGAUCCGGGAUUCGGGUCGUGACACUCCUAUUGAGCAAUUAUCAGUACACCACCGGUCCGCGCAUGGGGAGCCGGAAUCCCCAACAAGAAAUUCUCAUUGUUCAUGUUAAAGACCUCGAAAUUCCAAAAUUAUAGCUAUCUAAAUGCUGAUCCCUUACACUCUUCGAAAUUGACCUUCAUCUUUUGGAUUUUAUGAGUUGGUAAACCUGCUAUUAAUCAGCGGACCGUGAGAAACCAAAAAUCAGAACAUAUUUUCAGACUGGUUUUAUUAAGUACAUACAAUUUAGUUUACAUGACUCAGGUUUAUGGAGUAUCUAGAUGAAGCUUAGACCACCCCUCCAUUGAUGCUUUGUGGACCUGAACUGUGAUGUUUUGAAUUAAAAGAGAUAGGAAAAGGCAACAAAGCUCUUGGAGGCUUAAAGAGUGGGUAUAAGUAAAUGAGGGGUAGUGUGGUAAUUAAAUAAACAUAAUAAGUAUAAAUAGAAAAAAAAAGAGAGAGAUCUGAAAUCAAGAGUGAUGAUGGGAUAAGAGAAGAAAAGGGGAAGAAGAAGAAGAUAAAAGAGGUAAAGAUAAGGGAAAUAGAAGAUAAUUGAAGAAAAUAAGUUUAAAGAUAAGAUUUAGGUUGUUAAAUGUAUAAAUGUGUGUUCUUUGAGUUUUAAAUUUCUGUUUUGAUAAAUGUUAGGGUUUUGAAGAUUGUGUUUUGGGUUGAUUGAUGAAUUAAUUUGAAUGUUAUGGGUUGAUUGUUGUGGGUAAUGAGUUGUUUAGUUGAUUUUGAAAGAUUUUAGGUAAAGAUGAUGAUUUUGAGUUAUGAUUUGUGUAAAUGGUGAAUUUUGAGUUAGAAAUCUUGAGAUAACAGUAGGUUUUCUGUGGAAAUUCUGGGUUUGAGGUUGAAGAUGACAAAAUUUCAGUUUGGACCCUCAAUUUAUAAAACUUACAGUUUAGUCCCUAAACUUUGAAAAAAUUACAAAUUUACCCUAAAAUUUUGGAAAAAAAUCCAGAAUGGUCCCUGGAGCAUAAUUAGAGAUUCUGGACAAAAAUGAGGAUGAAUUAUGGAUAUAAUUCCACUAUAGUCAUGAAUUUAUGAUAUUUUUAGGUUGGUCCUCCAAUUUGACAAAGUUACAAUUUAACCCUUAAAAAUAUGAUAAAUUCCAGAUUGGUCUCUAUCUGUAAUAUUAGCUUUUGCAAAUUGGUUUGAUGAAUAAAUGAGGGUUAUUUAAUGAAUUAUUAUCAAGUCUUAUUAUUUGUUUUAUUAUGAAUUAGAUUUCGAGAAAACCGUUUAAUUUUGGGUUUUUGGGAAAAUAACUAGUUUAGUAUAAAAACAUAUAGGGUUGUGAAAUAUACCCUUAGUUAGGUAUAUUAAAUAGGUUAUAUGUUCUUUCAAGUCGUUCUUGAAUAUGUCUCAUUUGUAUUCAGAUAAUCCUGAUAUUCUACCGGCGGGAUGUUAGUAGGAUUUCCUUCG